GGACCCGCACAAGCGGUGGAGUAUGUGGUUUAAUUCGAUGCAACGCGAAAAACCUUACCAAGGUUUGAAAUCAUUCUAAAACUCUUUGAAAGAAGAGCCUCCUUCGGGAUAGAAUGACAGGUGGUGCAUGGCUGUCGUCAGCUCGUGUUGUGAAAUGUCAAGUUAAGUCUUGUAACGAGCGCAACCCAUGUCUUUUGUUGCUGUUUACAGUGCUUAAAAGAGACUGCCGCUCUACAGCGGAGGAAGGUGUGGAUGAUGUCAAGUCAGCAUGCCCCUUAUAUCUUGGGCUACACACGUACUACAAUGGUAGGGACAAUGAGUCGCAAACCUGCGAAGGCUAGCCAAUCUCAAAAACCCUAUCUCAGUUCGGAUUGUACUCUGCAACUCGAGUGCAUGAAGGUGGAAUCGCUAGUAAUCGCUGGU
Molecule: ribosomal RNA, 423 nt
Filed under: uncultured bacterium
Lineage: Bacteria
Description: bacterial SSU rRNA
Rfam family: Bacterial small subunit ribosomal RNA
Source: RNAcentral